This 465-nucleotide ribosomal RNA is filed under the name uncultured bacterium. RNAcentral describes it as "partial 16S ribosomal RNA". It matches the Rfam family "Bacterial small subunit ribosomal RNA", at positions 28 to 507 of the family's 1533-position model. The record is from RNAcentral.
GACGAACGCUGGCGGCGUGCUUAACACAUGCAAGUCGAACGGAAAGGCCCCUUUGGGGGUACUCGAGUGGCGAACGGGUGAGUAACACGUGAGUAACCUGCCCUUGACUUCGGGAUAACUUCAGGAAACUGGGGCUAAUACCGGAUAGGAAUCCUUGCUGCCUGGUGGGGGUUGGAAAGCUUCGGCGGUUUUGGAUGGACUCGCGGCUUAUCAGCUUGUUGGUGGGGUAGUGGCUUACCAAGGCUUUGACGGGUAGCCGGCCUGGGAGGGCGACCGGCCACAUUGGGACUGAGAUACGGCCCAGACUCCUACGGGAGGCAGCAGUGGGGAAUAUUGCACAAUGGGCGGAAGCCUGAUGCAGCAACGCCGCGUGCGGGAUGACGGCCUUCGGGUUGUAAACCGCUUUCAGCAGGGGCGAAGCUUGUGGUGACGGUACCUGCAGAAGAAGCACCGGCUAACUACGUG